Molecule: ribosomal RNA, 406 nt
Filed under: uncultured bacterium
Lineage: Bacteria
Description: partial 16S ribosomal RNA
Rfam family: Bacterial small subunit ribosomal RNA
Source: RNAcentral
GACGAACGCUGGCGGCGUGCCUAAUACAUGCAAGUCGAACGAGUGGCGGACGGGUGAGUAAUGUCUGGGAAACUGCCCGAUGGAGGGGGAUAACUACUGGAAACGGUAGCUAAUACCGCAUACCAUCGGAUGUGCCCAGAUGGGUUUGGGGAGUAGGUGGGGUAACGGCGCCCCUAGGCGACGAUCCCUCGCUGGUCUGAGAGGAUGACCAGCCACACUGGAACUGAGACACGGCCCAGACUCCUACGGGAGGCAGCAGUGGGGAAUAUUGCGCAAGGGGCGCAAGCCUGAUGCAGCCAUGCCGCGUGUAUGAAGAAGGCCUUCGGGUUGUAAAGUACUUUCAGCGAGGAGGCGUUACUCGCAGAAGAAGCACCGGCUAACUCCGUGCCAGCAGCCGCGGUAAUAC